Molecule: ribosomal RNA, 301 nt
Filed under: uncultured bacterium
Lineage: Bacteria
Description: partial 16S ribosomal RNA
Rfam family: Bacterial small subunit ribosomal RNA
Source: RNAcentral
CAGUAGCCGCGGUAAAACGGAGGGGGCUAGCGUUGUUCGGAAUUACUGGGCGUAAAGCGCACGUAGGCGGCUUGGUAAGUUAGAGGUGAAAGCCUGGAGCUCAACUCCAGAAUUGCCUUUAAGACUGCCGAGCUAGCAGGUGAGAGAGGUAAGUGGAAUUCCCGGUGUAGCGGUGAAAUGCGUAGAGAUCGGGAGGAACAUCAGUGGCGAAGGCGGCCAUCUGGGACAACACUGACGCUGAGGCACGAAAGCGUGGGGAGCAAACAGGAUUAGAUACCCGCGUAGUCCCUGUCUCUUAUAC